Molecule: transfer RNA, 74 nt
Filed under: Acropora cervicornis
Lineage: Eukaryota; Metazoa; Cnidaria; Anthozoa; Scleractinia; Acroporidae
Description: tRNA-Arg
Rfam family: tRNA
About the family: Transfer RNA (tRNA) molecules are approximately 80 nucleotides in length. Their secondary structure includes four short double-helical elements and three loops (D, anti-codon, and T loops).
Source: RNAcentral
GGCUCUGUGGCCCAACGGGAUAAGGUGUCCGACUACGAAUCGGAAGAUUCCAGGUUCAAAACCUGGCAGAGUCC